This 944-nucleotide ribosomal RNA is filed under the name Lactiplantibacillus plantarum. Its description in RNAcentral is "bacterial SSU rRNA". It matches the Rfam family "Bacterial small subunit ribosomal RNA", at positions 44 to 953 of the family's 1533-position model. Lineage: Bacteria; Bacillati; Bacillota; Bacilli; Lactobacillales; Lactobacillaceae. The record is from RNAcentral.
GCGCAGCUAUACAUGCAGUCGACGAACUCUGGUAUUGAUUGGUGCUUGCAUCAUGAUUUACAUUUGAGUGAGUGGCGAACUGGUGAGUAACACGUGGGAAACCUGCCCAGAAGCGGGGGAUAACACCUGGAAACAGAUGCUAAUACCGCAUAACAACUUGGACCGCAUGGUCCGAGUUUGAAAGAUGGCUUCGGCUAUCACUUUUGGAUGGUCCCGCGGCGUAUUAGCUAGAUGGUGGGGUAACGGCUCACCAUGGCAAUGAUACGUAGCCGACCUGAGAGGGUAAUCGGCCACAUUGGGACUGAGACACGGCCCAAACUCCUACGGGAGGCAGCAGUAGGGAAUCUUCCACAAUGGACGAAAGUCUGAUGGAGCAACGCCGCGUGAGUGAAGAAGGGUUUCGGCUCGUAAAACUCUGUUGUUAAAGAAGAACAUAUCUGAGAGUAACUGUUCAGGUAUUGACGGUAUUUAACCAGAAAGCCACGGCUAACUACGUGCCAGCAGCCGCGGUAAUACGUAGGUGGCAAGCGUUGUCCGGAUUUAUUGGGCGUAAAGCGAGCGCAGGCGGUUUUUUAAGUCUGAUGUGAAAGCCUUCGGCUCAACCGAAGAAGUGCAUCGGAAACUGGGAAACUUGAGUGCAGAAGAGGACAGUGGAACUCCAUGUGUAGCGGUGAAAUGCGUAGAUAUAUGGAAGAACACCAGUGGCGAAGGCGGCUGUCUGGUCUGUAACUGACGCUGAGGCUCGAAAGUAUGGGUAGCAAACAGGAUUAGAUACCCUGGUAGUCCAUACCGUAAACGAUGAAUGCUAAGUGUUGGAGGGUUUCCGCCCUUCAGUGCUGCAGCUAACGCAUUAAGCAUUCCGCCUGGGGAGUACGGCCGCAAGGCUGAAACUCAAAGGAAUUGACGGGGGCCCGCACAAGCGGUGGAGCAUGUGGUUUAAUUCG